This 1100-nucleotide long non-coding RNA is filed under the name Homo sapiens (human). RNAcentral's name for it is "HSALNT0300501". The record is from RNAcentral. Lineage: Eukaryota; Metazoa; Chordata; Mammalia; Primates; Hominidae.
AAAAAAAUGAAGUUUCCUGAUGAUUCAGUUUGACAUCCUUCUCUACCCACCUCCAUCCAGCACCGCCUCCCACCCAGCUGCCUCAUGCACUUGACUUCCAGGGGCCAUGGUAUUCAGACAGGAGUAGACCAGCUGGGUCUUUCUGUCAAUCAGCUCUUCUUGGUGGAGGUGGGGAAGGGGGAUGAUGAGGGGAGGGGGAUGAUGAGGAGAAGGAGCGGGGGUGGGGACGGGGCAGCUCCCUGAUACCGAUGGGUACACAGCAAAAAAUGAAAUGUAAAUUUUCAAUGGAGUACAGAACUGAAUCUUUUUUUUUUAUUUAUUUAUUUUUUAUUGAUAAUUCUUGGGUGUUUCUCACAGAGGGGGAUUUGGCAGGGUCAUAGGACAAUAGUGGAGGGAAGGUCAGCAGAUAAACAAGUGAACAAAGGUCUCUGGUUUUCCUAGGCAGAGGACCCUGCGGCCUUCCGCAGUGUUUGUGUCCCUGGGUACUUGAGAUUAGGGAGUGGUGAUGACUCUUAACGAGCAUGCUGCUUUCAAGCAUCUGUUUAACAAAGCACAUCUUGCACCGCCCUUAAUCCAUUUAACCCUGAGUGGACACAGCACAUGUUUCAGAGAGCACAGGGUUGGGGGUAAGGUCACAGAUCAACAGGAUCCCAAGGCAGAAGAAGUUUUCUUAGUACAGAACAAAAUGAAAAGUCUCCCAUGUCUACUUCUUUCUACACAGACACGGCAACCAUCCGAUUUCUCAAUCUUUUCCCCACCUUUCCCCCCUUUCUAUUCCACAAAGCCGCCAUUGUCAUCCUGGCCCGUUCUCAAUGAGCUGUUGGGUACACCUCCCAGACGGGGUGGUGGCCGGGCAGAGGGGCUCCUCACUUCCCAGUAGGGGCGGCCGGGCAGAGGCGCCCCUCACCUCCCGGACGGGGCGGCUGGCCGGGCGGGGGGCUGACCCCCCAACCUCCCUCCCGGAUGGGGGGGCUGGCCGGGCGGGGGGCUAACCCCCCCACCUCCCUCCCGGUCGGGGCGGCUGGCCGGGCUGGGGGCUGACCCCCCCACCUCCCUCCCGGACGGGGCGGCUGGCCGGGCGGGGGGCUGACCCCCCCACC